GAUGAACGCUGGCGGCGUGCUUAACACAUGCAAGUCGAACGAUGCAGCUGGAGCUUGCUCUGGUUGCUUAGUGGGGAAAGGGUGAGUAACACGUGAGCAACCUGCCCCUGACUCUGGGAUACCAGCCGGAAACGGCUACUAAUACCGGACAUGCACCAUUACCGCAUGAUCAUUGGUGGGAAAUGUUUUUCGGUUGGGGGUGGGCUCGCGGACUACCAUCUUGUUGGUGAGGGAAUGGCUCACCAAGUCGUAGGCGGAUAGCCGGCCUGAGAGGGUGACCGGCGACACUGGGACUACGACACGGACCAGAAUGCUACCGGAGGCAACAGUCGGGAAUAUUGCACAAUGGGCGCAAGCCGGAUGCAGAAACCCCGCGUGCGGGAUGACGGCCUUCGGGUUGUAAACCUGCUUGAGCGGGAAAGAAGCGAGAGUGACGGUACCUAAAGAGAAAGCGCCGGCUAACUACGUG
Molecule: ribosomal RNA, 469 nt
Filed under: uncultured bacterium
Lineage: Bacteria
Description: partial 16S ribosomal RNA
Rfam family: Bacterial small subunit ribosomal RNA
Source: RNAcentral